UCCCCACUUCACCUCCUAUAGGCCAAAUACUUAUAAAUACCAUUCAAUAUUCACAAGAAAAAAACAUCCCAAAGUAUUUUGUUCUACUACUACAUUUUUUUCAUACACAAUUGUCACCAAAAAACAUCAUGGCUGAAGAAAAGAAACAUCACUUUGGUGGUCUCUUUAACCACCACAAGAACAAAGAGGAAGACACCCCCAUUGAGAAAACUACAUAUGAAGAAACAACCUAUGAAGACAGUGAAAAAACUAGCACUUAUGGAGACAACACAUAUGGUGAAAAAACUAGUUAUGGUGAUGAUACAUAUGGCAAAAAAACUACCACAUAUGGAGAUGACAACAAAUAUAGUGAGAAAACUAGUUAUGGUGAUGAUACAUAUGACGAAAAAACUAACACAUAUGGAGAUGAAAACAAAUAUGGUGAGAAAACUAGUUACAGUGAGGGAGAUGACAACAAAUAUGGUGAGAAAACUAGUUAUGGUGGUGAUACAUAUGGCGAAAAACCUACCUCCUACGGAGGAGAUAAUACAUAUGGUGAGAAAACAAGUUAUGGUGGGGGAGAUGAAAACAAGUAUGGUGAGAAAACUAGUUAUGGAGAGAAAGCUAGUUAUGGUGGAGGAGAUGACAACAAAUAUGGUGAGAAAACAAGUUAUGGUAAUGAGGAAGGUGGCUAUGGUGGAGGAGUUGGUGCCUACUCAUCUGAGACUACUACUAAUUAUGAAGAGAAUGAUGAUAGUGGAACCAAAACUUCUGAGGAUUACAAGGAAGAGAAGAAACAUCACAAGCAUCUUGAAGAACUUGGGGGACUUGGAGCUGUUGCUGCUGGUGCCUUUGCUUUGGUAAAUAUUCUUUAAUUCUAACUUUCCACGUGACAAUGCAUAUGUAUGAGAUUACAAGAUUAAAUGACAUUUUCCUACGUUAAUCUUCGAUAUGGUAUAUGAAAAUUUCAGCAUGAGAAGCACAAGGCAGAGAAAGAUCCAGAGCAUGCACACAAGCACAAGAUAGAGGAAGAGAUAGCCGCAGUAGCUGCAGUUGGUGCUGGUGGAUUUGCAUUCCAUGAACAUCAUCAGAAGAAAGAAGCAAAAGAAGAAGAGGAGGAAGCUGAGGGAAAGAAGAAGCAUCAUUUCUUCUAAUGAAUUCUCUUGUCAUAACAUAUAGUAUUUGUUGUGUGCUGAUCAAUCUAUCCUUUAAUUAAUACGUACUCAGCAUGCACCUAAAUAAUUUGUAUGUGUGUUACACUACUCUUGUCUUUGAUGUUGUGCACCUACUUUAAUUUGCAUGAGUGUGAAUAAUAUUACGUAUAUUGUUUUUCUUAAAGUUGACUCUCGUGUAUGAAUGGUUUCCGUACGUAAGCACAUUUUUUCUUUGUGUUCUAUAUUUAAGC
RNAcentral lists this long non-coding RNA (1384 nucleotides) under Solanum lycopersicum (tomato). RNAcentral's name for it is "long non-coding RNA (SLYC_LNC000081)". Lineage: Eukaryota; Viridiplantae; Streptophyta; Magnoliopsida; Solanales; Solanaceae. The record is from RNAcentral.